RNAcentral lists this transfer RNA (63 nucleotides) under Varuna litterata. RNAcentral's name for it is "tRNA-His". It matches the Rfam family "tRNA". Rfam says of the family: Transfer RNA (tRNA) molecules are approximately 80 nucleotides in length. Their secondary structure includes four short double-helical elements and three loops (D, anti-codon, and T loops). The record is from RNAcentral. Lineage: Eukaryota; Metazoa; Arthropoda; Malacostraca; Decapoda; Varunidae.
ACUUAAAUAGUUUAAAUAAAAUAUUAGCUUGUGGCGCUUAAGAUGUAAAACUUACUUUAAGUA